RNAcentral lists this ribosomal RNA (312 nucleotides) under Xanthoparmelia aff. epacridea MAF-LICH 16208. Its description in RNAcentral is "eukaryotic LSU rRNA". The stretch from base 7 to 160 matches the Rfam family "5.8S ribosomal RNA". Lineage: Eukaryota; Fungi; Ascomycota; Lecanoromycetes; Lecanorales; Parmeliaceae. The record is from RNAcentral.
AAUAAAAACUUUCAACAACGGAUCUCUUGGUUCCAGCAUCGAUGAAGAACGCAGCGAAAUGCGAUAAGUAAUGUGAAUUGCAGAAUUCAGUGAAUCAUCGAAUCUUUGAACGCACAUUGCGCCCCUCGGCAUUCCGGGGGGCAUGCCUGUUCGAGCGUCAUUGCACCCCUCAAGCGCAGCUUGGUAUUGGGACCUCGCCCCCGUGGCGUGCCCGAAAAACAGUGGCGGUCCGGCGUGACUUUAAGCGUAGUAAAAUCUUCCCGCUCUGAAGCUCCCGUCGCGGCCGGCCAGAGAAUUCAUUGCUUCUAUAAU